Molecule: ribosomal RNA, 341 nt
Filed under: Neoempheria winnertzi
Lineage: Eukaryota; Metazoa; Arthropoda; Insecta; Diptera; Mycetophilidae
Description: partial 16S ribosomal RNA
Source: RNAcentral
UUUUUUAAUUGAAAACUUGUAUGAAUGGUUCAAUGAGAUAUUAGCUGUCUCAUAAAAAUUUUAAUAGAAAUUAAUUUUUUAGUUAAAAAGCUAAAAUUUAAUUAAAAGACGAGAAGACCCUAUAGAGUUUUAUAUAAUUUAAGUUAUAGUUUAUUUAUAAAAUUUAAAAUUUUAAUUUAAAUUAUAUUUUGUUGGGGUGACAGUAAAAUUUAAUAAUCUUUUAUUUAAUUUUAACAAUGAUUUUUGAUUUAUUGAUCCAUUUUUAUUGAUUAUAAGAUUAAAUUACCUUAGGGAUAACAGCGUAAUUUUUUUGAAGAGUUCUUAUCGAUAAAAAUUUUUGC